This 466-nucleotide ribosomal RNA is filed under the name uncultured bacterium. RNAcentral describes it as "partial 16S ribosomal RNA". It matches the Rfam family "Bacterial small subunit ribosomal RNA", at positions 28 to 507 of the family's 1533-position model. The record is from RNAcentral.
GACGAACGCUGGCGGCGCGCCUAACACAUGCAAGUCGAACGAGCGAGCGAGAGCUUGCUUUCUUGAGCGAGUGGCGAACGGGUGAGUAACGCGUGAGGAACCUGCCUCAAAGAGGGGGACAACAGUUGGAAACGACAGCUAAUACCGCAUAAGCCCACGGUGCCGCAUGGCACAGAGGGAAAAGGAGCAAUCCGCUUUGAGAUGGCCUCGCGUCCGAUUAGCUAGUUGGUGAGGUAACGGCCCACCAAGGCGACGAUCGGUAGCCGGACUGAGAGGUUGAACGGCCACAUUGGGACUGAGACACGGCCCAGACUCCUACGGGAGGCAGCAGUGGGGAAUAUUGCACAAUGGGGGAAACCCUGAUGCAGCGACGCCGCGUGGAGGAAGAAGGUCUUCGGAUUGUAAACUCCUGUUGUUGGGGAAGAUAAUGACGGUACCCAACAAGGAAGUGACGGCUAACUACGUG